Molecule: ribosomal RNA, 467 nt
Filed under: uncultured bacterium
Lineage: Bacteria
Description: bacterial SSU rRNA
Rfam family: Bacterial small subunit ribosomal RNA
Source: RNAcentral
UGGGGAAUAUUGGACAAUGGGCGAAAGCCUGAUCCAGCCAUGCCGCGUGUGUGAAGAAGGUCUUCGGAUUGUAAAGCACUUUAAGUUGGGAGGAAGGGCAGUUACCUAAUACGUAUCUGUUUUGACGUUACCGACAGAAUAAGCACCGGCUAACUCUGUGCCAGCAGCCGCGGUAAUACAGAGGGUGCAAGCGUUAAUCGGAAUUACUGGGCGUAAAGCGCGCGUAGGUGGUUUGUUAAGUUGGAUGUGAAAUCCCCGGGCUCAACCUGGGAACUGCAUUCAAAACUGACAAGCUAGAGUAUGGUAGAGGGUGGUGGAAUUUCCUGUGUAGCGGUGAAAUGCGUAGAUAUAGGAAGGAACACCAGUGGCGAAGGCGACCACCUGGACUGAUACUGACACUGAGUGCGAAAGCGUGGGGAGCAAACAGGAUUAGAUACCCACGUAGUCCCUGAGCGGGCUGGCAAGGC